Molecule: ribosomal RNA, 394 nt
Filed under: uncultured bacterium
Lineage: Bacteria
Description: partial 16S ribosomal RNA
Rfam family: Bacterial small subunit ribosomal RNA
Source: RNAcentral
AUACGGAGGAUGCAAGCGUUAUCCGGAUUUAUUGGGUUUAAAGGGUGCGUAGGCGGAUGAUUAAGCGUGAGGUGAAAUGCCACUGCUCAACAGUGGAACUGCCUCGCGAACUGGUUGUCUUGAAUGCUCCUGCCGUGGGAGGAAUGUGUGGUGUAGCGGUGAAAUGCAUAGAGAUCACACAGAACACCGAUUGCGAAGGCAUCUACCGAAGUGGUACUUAACCCAGAGGCCCGACCGCGACGGGAUCAAACAGGAUUAGAUUCCCUGGUAGUCCACGCGGUAUAGGAUGAGAAAUAAACCCUGGGUAGUAGUGAUUCAGUGGUCAAGGGAAAGCGAUAAGUUAUCGCCCUGGGGCGCUCGAUAGCACGGUGGAAACUCACAUGAAAAAGUGUUG